GACAGACUUCUUUGCUUCCCUGCUCCUUGGGGAUUAGAUGCUGAUGGUUUUCUUUAUCGGCUCCAUCCAGGAUGGCUGCUCUCCCCUCCGCCCCCUUCCCCAAUCCUAGAACCUCCAGCAGUGCAGCAUCUAGAGAUCAGAGGAGGAAGCUCAAGAUCUGGGCAGGAUGGGACCCCGCGGGCCUGGGAGACGAUUGUCGGGAGCAGCCUGAGGAUCACCCGGCUAGCCCGUCGGGGAGGGAAAGAGAACCACAGGCCCUAGACAGGCUGCUCCUUCAGCCCAGCUGCCAGCAUGAAGAAGACAUGCAGAGCAGAGACAUGACCACUGGCCUGCGAAUAAGAGAUUUUUUUUUCUUGAGGAAGACUGGCCCUGAGCUAACAUCCGUGCCCAUCUUCCUCUACCUUAUAUGUGGGACGCCUACCACAGCAUGGCUUGCCAAGUGAUGCCGUGUCUGCACCCGGAUCCUAACCAGCAAACCCCAGGCCGCUGAAGCAGAAUGUGCUCAGUUAAUCGCUGCACCACCGGGCCGCCCCAAGAACUUUGAUUUUUAGAUCAGUCUGCUCCCCAUCAGGGCGCCCUGUGUGGGCCAAGGACCAGACCUGGAGAAUCCUCAGUCUAAGCUCCUGGAAAUAUUUUAAGUGUCUCUAAGUACACAGAAAGAGCGUCUUCUAAGAAUGUGGAAGGAGUUUGAACAUCACCCAGGGAAAGAUGACCUCAGAUCCAGCUUCUCAUCUAGAGAACUCAUAAAAAUCGCUCUGGGAAAGUUGCUGUUAGUUGUUAUUUAGUAUCUCCCACUGGUCAGGAAGGGUAAGGCGAAGGACUCUGCUAAGAGCCUUACACGUGUCAUCUCGUUCAAUUCUCAUGACACCACCAUGACCUAGGUGCUGUUACCAUUUCCUCUUUCCCGUUUAGGAAACUGAGACAUGGUGAAGUGUCUGCCCAAAGUCACACAGCCAGUGGAGGCAGAGCUGAGGCCUGACUUUCCUCUGCACCGUUCCACCUCCCUGCAUAUCCAUUUUAGAUCCAACUUAUGGUGUCGUUGAGUUUUUUGCUUCACGCACGCUUAAUGGUCCAUGAGGGCUUGUUGUAUAAUUAACGUGCAUGUGCUUAUUUUCUAGAACUCAGCACUUGCUUUCUUGUUUUAAAACUAUUGUCGCGGUUUAUGGUUAUUGCAUCCUUAUGUUCUGGUGUUGGUUCUAUCUGGGAUCAUCGAUGGUCCCAUGGAGGAGACGCCCUUCUCUUUAAAGACAGCUCACCACGGGGCUGGCUCCGCCGGGUAACAACUACCGCCAAGGAGAGGGGCUGCGUGACGCUUGACUCUGCCAGAGGAAAAGCGAGACUCGGGACAUGCAGGGUUUUGAAAAACAGCAAUGCAGCGAAGAGUGGUGCAAGGAGAACAGGGUCUGAGAGGGAGGUUUCACAGGGCAGGCCAAGGAGUCUGUACUUUAUCAUCCAGGCAGGGAUGUUUUCACAGAUGGGAGUGCCCUGAUCAGAUCUGUGUUUGCAAAGCGCUCAACUUGUUUCGGGACUGGGUGGGAGCCACUCUGAGGAGCAGGCUCUCUGGGUGCUGUGGGAUUGCCAGGAAACAUGUCUAUGGAAACGUGGCUUAGGUGUGGCUGAGGACAGUGUCUCUGGCCCCGCACUGUCCAGGGUCUCUUCUCUGUCGCCCCAGGGCCUGCUUCUCCAGCUGAUCCUCCUCUGUAUCCCACGCUGGUCCACAGGGAGAAAGCCUGGGUCCAAAUCCUGGCUCUGGCGCUCCCAAGCUCUGUGCCUGUGGUCCAGUUUCCUCUGUGCCUCAAUUUCUCCAUCUGUAAAAGGGUUUAACAAUAAACUCACCUCGUAUGACUGUGGUGAGGAUUAAAGUGAGCAGAC
This 1872-nucleotide long non-coding RNA is filed under the name Equus caballus (horse). RNAcentral's name for it is "lncRNA (ENSECAG00000053389.1)". Lineage: Eukaryota; Metazoa; Chordata; Mammalia; Perissodactyla; Equidae. The record is from RNAcentral.